RNAcentral lists this ribosomal RNA (1758 nucleotides) under human gut metagenome. RNAcentral describes it as "bacterial LSU rRNA". It matches the Rfam family "Bacterial large subunit ribosomal RNA", at positions 766 to 2505 of the family's 2925-position model. The record is from RNAcentral.
CUGGAGGACCGAACCGACUAAUGUUGAAAAAUUAGCGGAUGACUUGUGGCUGGGGGUGAAAGGCCAAUCAAACCGGGAGAUAGCUGGUUCUCCCCGAAAGCUAUUUAGGUAGCGCCUCGUGAAUUCAUCUCCGGGGGUAGAGCACUGUUUCGGCAAGGGGGUCAUCCCGACUUACCAACCCGAUGCAAACUGCGAAUACCGGAGAAUGUUAUCACGGGAGACACACGGCGGGUGCUAACGUCCGUCGUGAAGAGGGAAACAACCCAGACCGCCAGCUAAGGUCCCAAAGUCAUGGUUAAGUGGGAAACGAUGUGGGAAGGCCCAGACAGCCAGGAUGUUGGCUUAGAAGCAGCCAUCAUUUAAAGAAAGCGUAAUAGCUCACUGGUCGAGUCGGCCUGCGCGGAAGAUGUAACGGGGCUAAACCAUGCACCGAAGCUGCGGCAGCGACACUAUGUGUUGUUGGGUAGGGGAGCGUUCUGUAAGCCUGUGAAGGUGGCCUGUGAGGGUUGCUGGAGGUAUCAGAAGUGCGAAUGCUGACAUAAGUAACGAUAAAGCGGGUGAAAAGCCCGCUCGCCGGAAGACCAAGGGUUCCUGUCCAACGUUAAUCGGGGCAGGGUGAGUCGACCCCUAAGGCGAGGCCGAAAGGCGUAGUCGAUGGGAAACAGGUUAAUAUUCCUGUACUUGGUGUUACUGCGAAGGGGGGACGGAGAAGGCUAUGUUGGCCGGGCGACGGUUGUCCCGGUUUAAGCGUGUAGGCUGGUUUUCCAGGCAAAUCCGGAAAACCAAGGCUGAGGCGUGAUGACGAGGCACUACGGUGCUGAAGCGACAAAUGCCCUGCUUCCAGGAAAAGCCUCUAAGCAUCAGGUAACAUCAAAUCGUACCCCAAACCGACACAGGUGGUCAGGUAGAGAAUACCAAGGCGCUUGAGAGAACUCGGGUGAAGGAACUAGGCAAAAUGGUGCCGUAACUUCGGGAGAAGGCACGCUGAUAUGUAGGUGAAGCGACUUGCUCGUGGAGCUGAAAUCAGUCGAAGAUACCAGCUGGCUGCAACUGUUUAUUAAAAACACAGCACUGUGCAAACACGAAAGUGGACGUAUACGGUGUGACGCCUGCCCGGUGCCGGAAGGUUAAUUGAUGGGGUUAGCGGUAACGCGAAGCUCUUGAUCGAAGCCCCGGUAAACGGCGGCCGUAACUAUAACGGUCCUAAGGUAGCGAAAUUCCUUGUCGGGUAAGUUCCGACCUGCACGAAUGGCGUAAUGAUGGCCAGGCUGUCUCCACCCGAGACUCAGUGAAAUUGAACUCGCUGUGAAGAUGCAGUGUACCCGCGGCAAGACGGAAAGACCCCGUGAACCUUUACUAUAGCUUGACACUGAACAUUGAGCCUUGAUGUGUAGGAUAGGUGGGAGGCUUUGAAGUGUGGACGCCAGUCUGCAUGGAGCCGACCUUGAAAUACCACCCUUUAAUGUUUGAUGUUCUAACGUUGGCCCGUAAUCCGGGUUGCGGACAGUGUCUGGUGGGUAGUUUGACUGGGGCGGUCUCCUCCUAAAGAGUAACGGAGGAGCACGAAGGUUGGCUAAUCCUGGUCGGACAUCAGGAGGUUAGUGCAAUGGCAUAAGCCAGCUUGACUGCGAGCGUGACGGCGCGAGCAGGUGCGAAAGCAGGUCAUAGUGAUCCGGUGGUUCUGAAUGGAAGGGCCAUCGCUCAACGGAUAAAAGGUACUCCGGGGAUAACAGGCUGAUACCGCCCAAGAGUUCAUAU